This 439-nucleotide ribosomal RNA is filed under the name uncultured bacterium. Its description in RNAcentral is "partial 16S ribosomal RNA". It matches the Rfam family "Bacterial small subunit ribosomal RNA", at positions 339 to 795 of the family's 1533-position model. The record is from RNAcentral.
CUACGGGCGGCUGCAGUGGGGAAUAUUGCACAAUGGAGGAAACUCUGAUGCAGCAACGCCGCGUGGAGGAUGACACUUUUCGGAGCGUAAACUCCUUUUAUAUAGGAAGAUAAUGACGGUACUAUAUGAAUAAGCACCGGCUAACUCCGUGCCAGCAGCCGCGGUAAUACGGAGGGUGCAAGCGUUACUCGGAAUCACUGGGCGUAAAGAGCGUGUAGGCGGAUAGAUAAGUCAGGAGUGAAAUCCUAUGGCUCAACCAUAGAACUGCUCUUGAAACUGUCUAUCUAGAAUAUGGGAGAGGUAGAUGGAAUUUCUGGUGUAGGGGUAAAAUCCGUAGAGAUCAGAAGGAAUACCGAUUGCGAAGGCGAUCUACUGGAACAUUAUUGACGCUGAGACGCGAAAGCGUGGGGAGCAAACAGGAUUAGAUACCCGCGUAGUC